AACGAACGCUGGCGGCGUGGAUAAGACAUGCAAGUCGAGCGGAGUAAUCAGAGUAGCAAUAUUCUGGUUGUUCAGCGGCGCAAGGGUGCGUAACACGUGGGUAAUUUGCCAUGAAGUCUG
Molecule: ribosomal RNA, 120 nt
Filed under: uncultured bacterium
Lineage: Bacteria
Description: partial 16S ribosomal RNA
Rfam family: Bacterial small subunit ribosomal RNA
Source: RNAcentral